AUGAACGCUGGCGGCGUGCCUAAUACAUGCAAGUCGAGCGAACGGACGAGAAGCUUGCUUUUCUGAUGUUAGCGGCGGACGGGUGAGUAACACGUGGAUAACCUACCUAUAAGACUGGGAUAACUUCGGGAAACCGGAGCUAAUACCGGAUAAUAUUUUGAACCGCAUGGUUCAAAAGUGAAAGACGGUCUUGCUGUCACUUAUAGAUGGAUCCGCGCUGCAUUAGCUAGUUGGUAAGGUAACGGCUCACCAAGGCAACGAUGCAUAGCCGACCUGAGAGGGGGAGAGGGGAAAAUGGAGAUGAGACACGGUGAAGACGCAGAAGAGAGGCAGCAGGAGGGAAUGUUAAGCAAUGGGCGAAAGACUGAAGGAGCCAAUAAGCGGGAGUGAAUAAGUUCGUAAGAAUUUAAAACAAUGUUAUGAGGGAAGACAAGAAGAGGCAGGAACCACGAACGGCCGGCAGGCGAAAAAGUAGAAGAGAACCCCUAACCUGGGC
RNAcentral lists this ribosomal RNA (496 nucleotides) under uncultured bacterium. RNAcentral's name for it is "partial 16S ribosomal RNA". The stretch from base 18 to 374 matches the Rfam family "Bacterial small subunit ribosomal RNA", at positions 46 to 392 of the family's 1533-position model. The record is from RNAcentral.